Molecule: ribosomal RNA, 492 nt
Filed under: uncultured bacterium
Lineage: Bacteria
Description: partial 16S ribosomal RNA
Rfam family: Bacterial small subunit ribosomal RNA
Source: RNAcentral
AGUGAACGCUGGCGGUAGGCCUAACACAUGCAAGUCGAACGGCAGCACAGUAAGAGCUUGCUAUUAGGGGCGGCGAGUGGAGUAAGGGUGAGGAAUACACCGGAAUCUACUUUUUCGUGGGGGAUAACGUAGGCAAACUUCCGCUAAUACCGCAUAAGACCUACGGGUGAAAGCAGGGGAUCUUCGGACCUUGCGCGACUGAAUGAGCCGAUGUCGGAUUAGCUAGUUGGGGGGGUAAAGGCCCACCAAGGCGACGAUCCGUAGCUGGUCUGAGAGGAUGAUCAGCCACACUGGAACUGAGACACGGUCCAGACUCCUACGGGAGGCAGCAGUGGGGAAUAUUGGACAAUGGGCGCAAGCCUGAUCCAGCCAUACCGCGUGGGUGAAGAAGGCCUUCGGGUUGUAAAGCCCUUUUGUUGGGAAAGAAAAGCAGCAGGUUAAUACCCCGCUGUUCUGACGGUACCCAAAGAAUAAGCACCGGCUAACUUCGUG